RNAcentral lists this long non-coding RNA (202 nucleotides) under Sorghum bicolor (sorghum). RNAcentral's name for it is "long non-coding RNA (SBIC_LNC013271)". The record is from RNAcentral. Lineage: Eukaryota; Viridiplantae; Streptophyta; Magnoliopsida; Poales; Poaceae.
UCGGGGACUCUGGCUAGCGCAGACUCUAAGUUGCUCACCCGACCUCGCGCUGCCGAGGUAAGAUCGGUAUAAGGGAAAAGAAAACAAAACACUUAGGAAAAAGCUUAAAAGGAAUAAUCAUAUAAAUGUUCAUACUUAGCAUUAACAUUGUAUAUACGAUACAAGGCCUACUGGCCUUAACAUCUACAAAAAGAAAAAGAAA